Molecule: ribosomal RNA, 775 nt
Filed under: uncultured Neocallimastigales
Lineage: Eukaryota; Fungi; Neocallimastigomycota; Neocallimastigomycetes; Neocallimastigales
Description: partial large subunit ribosomal RNA
Rfam family: Eukaryotic large subunit ribosomal RNA
Source: RNAcentral
GUACACGCUGUGACUAGCAUAUCAAUAAGCGGAGGAAAAGAAACUAACAAGGAUUCCCCUAGUAACGGCGAGUGAAGCGGGAAGAGCUCAAAUUUGAAAUCUUAAAGGGUUUCCCUUUACGAAUUGUAGUUUAAAGAAGUGUUUUCUGUUGAGGUUUUGGUAAAAGUUCUUUGGAAUAGGACAUCAUAGAGGGCGAGAAUCCCGUAUUUGACCUUUACUUUCAACUUUGUGAUACACUUUCAAAGAGUCGGAUUGUUUGGGAAUGCAGUCCAAAAUGGGUGGUAAAUUUCAUCUAAGGCUAAAUAUUGGCGAGAGACCGAUAGCGAACAAGUACCGUGAGGGAAAGAUGAAAAGAACUUUGAAAAGAGAGUUAAACAGUACGUGAAAUUGUCAAAAGGGAAGCGUUUGACACCAGUGUUGUUUUUCUGAAAAUCAAUUAAAGAACUGUUUAUGCUAAGUUGUUUAGACUUUAUCAGCUAUCUGUUUAGUUUUGAGCUUUUCUUUAAUGCACUUUUCAGUUAACAAGUCAACAUCAAUUUCUUUUGCUGUAAAAAAGCUUGAGGAAGGUGGCUUGAGAUUCGUCUUAAGUGUUUAUAGCCUCUUGCCUAUGCAGUCGGAGAGAUUGAGGUCUGCAGCAUAGAUCCUUCGAGGCUAAAUGCAUUUGUGCUAAGUUAUAGCAUUUUCAUAGACAACUUGUUGACUAUGAUUUGUCUUGUAGCUUACUCGCUUAUGUUAUUUUACCUACGCUUAGGAUGUUGACGAGACUGUCGAUCUC